This 74-nucleotide transfer RNA is filed under the name Streptomyces phage BRock. RNAcentral's name for it is "tRNA-Glu". It matches the Rfam family "tRNA". Rfam says of the family: Transfer RNA (tRNA) molecules are approximately 80 nucleotides in length. Their secondary structure includes four short double-helical elements and three loops (D, anti-codon, and T loops). Further hydrogen bonds mediate the characteristic L-shaped molecular structure. tRNAs have two regions of fundamental functional importance: the anti-codon, which is responsible for specific mRNA codon recognition, and the 3' end, to which the tRNAs corresponding amino acid is attached (by aminoacyl-tRNA synthetases). tRNAs cope with the degeneracy of the genetic code in two manners: having more than one tRNA (with a specific anti-codon) for a particular amino acid; and 'wobble' base-pairing, i.e. permitting non-standard base-pairing at the 3rd anti-codon position. The record is from RNAcentral. Lineage: Duplodnaviria; Heunggongvirae; Uroviricota; Caudoviricetes.
GUCCCCGUAGUGUAGCGGCCAAGCACGCUGGACUUUCAAUUCGGUAGCGCGGGUUCGAAUCCCGUCGGGGGUAC